AGCUGGCUAUAACUGGUCUGUGGCUGGUAUAAACUGGUUAAGCUGGUAACCUAUGCUCGUCAAACUGGUGGACUAGACUCCUCUUCCAUGUCUGUCUCCAGUAUUGUGGAAUUCUUUCUGAUGUAACCAUCUUCAUCACAAACUGCCUACACGAAGGGCCCCUGCACUCAAGAAGGGCCCCUAUGGAACAGUUCCCACUCAUGUUGCCAUAGCGUUGCUCUGACGAGGCGUGGUGCGGGAGUAACUGUGGGAGGUUUUCAUGAGCUCCAUAUCUGAAUGCUGGCCUGUGCCUCUCAUGUGCAGAUAUAUGGUUUUAAUAUUUAUUUAUCUGGCAAAUACUUACCAUCCAUUAUGAUUUACAAGGCCAUCAGGAUACCAUAACAAGCAGUCACACCAUGAUUUAAAGCAUAAUAUAGGUACUGACAACAUACCUGCAUCAUGCCGAUACGCACAUAGAGCCUAAUAAUGGCAUAUGGGUGCAGGACAUUGGAUUCAUACAGCUUCUGUGAACCUGAACAGGUAGUUCUUAUGCAAGAAUCAGAAGGUAGGCAAUUUGGUUGUCUUGUGGGUGCAGUUACCAAAUUCCACCACCGGGGGGCCAGAGAGGCGAUAAAGACAGCUUUGGAUAUGAGGCCACAGAAGAGAGAAAUAACCAGCCAACCUUAUAUAUUGAUGAGAAGCGAGAAACGAAUCCCACACACAGAUGUCGAACAAUCGCUCUUAGUCACAGGUCUUUUAACUAAAACAUGGACUAUUUUUUCAGCACACAAUUUUAUUAUAAAAAACACUACAUUUGAACAGCACGCAGCUUUUAUAUUUUAAACUUACAUCUUAUGGCUGGUUGUUCCAGUAGUGUGAUUAUAUGCUUGCAUAUUUAUUAUCUUGUCAAUAUAUUAUUCCUGGACCACAGCAGCUUGGCACUGAAAAAAUAAUCUUUGUGUAAACCAGUGUAAACCAGACUGUCCUGUCUGUUGCUAAAAUUAUUUUCUUUUUUUGUUGCUUUUAGGGACGAGUGAUACUGUCACUGUCAGUUAUCUGCCUUGUGGACAAGUAUGUGAUGCACAAAAUCAAGAAGCCAGUAUGUUCCUGCUUCCUUAUGGAUUCUGAGCUUUUUCCAGCUCACCUCCUUGGACUCUAAGCUCCUUGAGCAACUUGAGUUUUUGGAAACACUCUAAAACAAUGUAUUUUGUAUAUUGCUAUCAACGCAUAAUAUGUAAAGCAUUACAAUAUUUUAGUUUACUGCCAUGUGUUUGUUAUUGUAGACUUUGUCGGGUUUUUUAUGUUCAGUUCUAGGAUUUUGAUUGGUGUCUUGGACUGCUUAAAUGUUGAAUAAUUGCACACUUAUGAAAAGUGCUUAAUCGUUAAAUUAUUGUCAUCACAGGUUUUCUUUUUUGUCUGUUUGUAAGAACAUAUGAAAGCCUAUGAGAUCCAGCCAUGGGCAUUCCUCUGCAGUGGCUCUGACUAACAGUUAAAACCCUAAUUUACACACAGCCAUGGAUAAUUAAAAUAAAUAAGACAUGAAUGAAAACAUACAA
Molecule: long non-coding RNA, 1535 nt
Organism: Anguilla rostrata (American eel)
Lineage: Eukaryota; Metazoa; Chordata; Actinopteri; Anguilliformes; Anguillidae
Exons: 3
Source: RefSeq, a predicted model, not a curated record